CGACGGGCUGUGUGUGCGUGCUA
Molecule: microRNA, 23 nt
Filed under: Heliconius melpomene (postman butterfly)
Lineage: Eukaryota; Metazoa; Arthropoda; Insecta; Lepidoptera; Nymphalidae
Description: hme-miR-6308-3p
Source: miRBase by way of RNAcentral